CAAAGGAGCAAUCCGCUGAAAGAUGGGCUCGCGUCCGAUUAGGUAGUUGGCGGGGCAACGGCCCACCAAGCCGACGAUCGGUAGCCGGACUGAGAGGUUGAACGGCCACAUUGGGACUGAGACACGGCCCAGACUCCUACGGGAGGCAGCAGUGAGGGAUAUUGGUCAAUGGGGGAAACCCUGAACCAGCAACGCCGCGUGAGGGAAGACGGUUUUCGGAUUGUAAACCUCUGUCCUCUGUGAAGAUGAUGACGGUAGCAGAGGAGGAAGCUCCGGCUAACUACGUGCCAGCAGCCGCGGUAAUACGUAGGGAGCAAGCGUUGUCCGGAUUUACUGGGUGUAAAGGGUGCGUAGGCGGCUUUGCAAGUCAGAAGUGAAAUCCAUGGGCUUAACCCAUGAACUGCUUUUGAAACUGCAGAGCUUGAGUGGAGUAGAGGUAGGCGGAAUUCCCGGUGUAGCGGUGAAAUGCGUAGAGAUCGGGAGGAACACCAGUGGCGAAGGCGGCCUGCUGGGCUCUAACUGACGCUGAGGCACGAAAGCGUGGGUAGCAAACAGGAUUAGACACCCUGGUAGUCCACGCUGUAAACGAUGAUUACUAGGUGUGGGUGGACUGACCCCAUCC
RNAcentral lists this ribosomal RNA (622 nucleotides) under uncultured bacterium. RNAcentral describes it as "bacterial SSU rRNA". It matches the Rfam family "Bacterial small subunit ribosomal RNA", at positions 202 to 842 of the family's 1533-position model. The record is from RNAcentral.